RNAcentral lists this ribosomal RNA (253 nucleotides) under uncultured bacterium. RNAcentral's name for it is "partial 16S ribosomal RNA". It matches the Rfam family "Bacterial small subunit ribosomal RNA", at positions 524 to 776 of the family's 1533-position model. The record is from RNAcentral.
UACGAAGGGGGCUAGCGUUGCUCGGAAUCACUGGGCGUAAAGCGCACGUAGGCGGCUUUUUAAGUCAGGGGUGAAGUCCUGGAGCUCAACUCCAGAACUGCCUUUGAUACUGAGAAGCUUGAGUCCGGGAGAGGUGAGUGGAACUGCGAGUGUAGAGGUGAAAUUCGUAGAUAUUCGCAAGAACACCAGUGGCGAAGGCGGCUCACUGGCCCGGUACUGACGCUGAGGUGCGAAAGCGUGGGGAGCAAACAGG